Molecule: non-coding RNA, 133 nt
Organism: Phyllosticta paracitricarpa
Lineage: Eukaryota; Fungi; Ascomycota; Dothideomycetes; Botryosphaeriales; Phyllostictaceae
Source: the annotation of a GenBank genome assembly
UCCAUCGUGGCGCAGUGGUAGUGCCACCCUGAAGUACAGGAGUGUCUGUUGACGCAGCCUUGUUGAGCUCGGGUGAGUUGCGUGGUGCGGGCUUGCCUGUCUGGAAACCCGAGUUCAACUCUCGGCGAUGGAG